Molecule: small RNA, 267 nt
Filed under: Vigna angularis var. angularis
Lineage: Eukaryota; Viridiplantae; Streptophyta; Magnoliopsida; Fabales; Fabaceae
Description: Non-protein coding transcript
Source: RNAcentral
UCGUAACAUCAAGAUUCAAGUUUUGUUCCUGUGCCCUCAACCCUCACUGAAAUGUAUGAUGUUCGAUAGAAAAUGUUUCUUUCUCUUGUUUCCUUGAAGCCAGUGUGUUCUCAUCUUUUGAUGCAUAACUGUUACCCUUAGAUAUACACACUUACUUUUGUCAAUAUAUAUGAGGAGACAGUCACUCAUUCUUUCAAUCUGAAUACAAUUCGAUAACCAGUGUUGUUUAUAAGCCUUGAAUGUAUUAUGUUUUGUAGUACUUUUAAC